This 497-nucleotide ribosomal RNA is filed under the name uncultured bacterium. RNAcentral's name for it is "partial 16S ribosomal RNA". It matches the Rfam family "Bacterial small subunit ribosomal RNA", at positions 28 to 507 of the family's 1533-position model. The record is from RNAcentral.
GAUGAACGCUGGCGGCGUGCCUAAUACAUGCAAGUCGAGCGAACGGACGAGAAGCUUGCUUCUCUGAUGUUAGCGGCGGACGGGUGAGUAACACGUGGAUAACCUACCUAUAAGACUGGGAUAACUUCGGGAAACCGGAGCUAAUACCGGAUAAUAUUUUGAACCGCAUGGUUCAAAAGUGAAAGACGGUCUUGCUGUCACUUAUAGAUGGAUCCGCGCUGCAUUAGCUAGUUGGUAAGGUAACGGCUUACCAAGGCAACGAUGCAUAGCCGACCUGAGAGGGGGAUCGGCCCACCUGGAAAUGAGACAAGGGCCCGACUCCUACGGGAGGGAGCAGGAGGGAAUCUUUCGCAAGGGGGGAAAGCCCGACGGAGCAACGCCGCGGGAGGGAAGAAGGUCUUUGGAUCGGAAAACUCUGUUAUUAGGGAAAAACAUAUGUGGAAGGAACUGUGCACAUCUUGACGGUAACUAAUAAGAAAGCCACGGCUAAAUACGUG